RNAcentral lists this ribosomal RNA (1361 nucleotides) under uncultured bacterium. RNAcentral describes it as "bacterial SSU rRNA". It matches the Rfam family "Bacterial small subunit ribosomal RNA", at positions 28 to 1387 of the family's 1533-position model. The record is from RNAcentral.
GAUGAACGCUAUUGACAGGCUUAACACAUGCAAGUCGAGGGGCAGCACAGGUAGCAAUACCGGGUGGCGACCGGCGCACGGGUGAGUAACGCGUAUGCAACUUACCUAUCAGAGGGGGAUAACCCGGCGAAAGUCGGACUAAUACCGCAUGAAGCAGGGGUCCCGCAUGGGGAUAUUUGCUAAAGAUUCAUCGCUGAUAGAUAGGCAUGCGUUCCAUUAGGCAGUUGGCGGGGUAACGGCCCACCAAACCGACGAUGGAUAGGGGUUCUGAGAGGAAGGUCCCCCACAUUGGUACUGAGACACGGACCAAACUCCUACGGGAGGCAGCAGUGAGGAAUAUUGGUCAAUGGGCGUAAGCCUGAACCAGCCAAGUCGCGUGAGGGAUGAAGGUUCUAUGGAUCGUAAACCUCUUUUAUAAGGGAAUAAAGUGCGGGACGUGUCCCGUUUUGUAUGUACCUUAUGAAUAAGGAUCGGCUAACUCCGUGCCAGCAGCCGCGGUAAUACGGAGGAUCCGAGCGUUAUCCGGAUUUAUUGGGUUUAAAGGGUGCGUAGGCGGCCUUUUAAGUCAGCGGUGAAAGUCUGUGGCUCAACCAUAGAAUUGCCGUUGAAACUGGGAGGCUUGAGUAUGUUUGAGGCAGGCGGAAUGCGUGGUGUAGCGGUGAAAUGCUUAGAUAUCACGCAGAACCCCGAUUGCGAAGGCAGCCUGCCAAGCCAUGACUGACGCUGAUGCACGAAAGCGUGGGGAUCAAACAGGAUUAGAUACCCUGGUAGUCCACGCAGUAAACGAUGAUCACUAGCUGUUUGCGAUACAGUGUAAGCGGCACAGCGAAAGCGUUAAGUGAUCCACCUGGGGAGUACGCCGGCAACGGUGAAACUCAAAGGAAUUGACGGGGGCCCGCACAAGCGGAGGAACAUGUGGUUUAAUUCGAUGAUACGCGAGGAACCUUACCCGGGUUUGAACGCAUUCGGACCGAGGUGGAAACACCUUUUCUAGCAAUAGCCGUUUGCGAGGUGCUGCAUGGUUGUCGUCAGCUCGUGCCGUGAGGUGUCGGCUUAAGUGCCAUAACGAGCGCAACCCUUGCCACUAGUUACUAACAGGCGAUGCUGAGGACUCUGGUGGGACUGCCAGCGUAAGCUGCGAGGAAGGCGGGGAUGACGUCAAAUCAGCACGGCCCUUACAUCCGGGGCGACACACGUGUUACAAUGGCGUGGACAAAGGGAUGCCACCUGGCGACAGGGAGCGAAUCCCCAAACCACGUCUCAGUUCGGAUCGGAGUCUGCAACCCGACUCCGUGAAGCUGGAUUCGCUAGUAAUCGCGCAUCAGCCAUGGCGCGGUGAAUACGUUCCCGGGCCUUGCACA